GGGUGGGUGAUGCGACGGUGUUGUGGGUGAGCCGGCGUUGUGGGUGAGGGGCGGGGAGUUGGAGUCUCGUGGUGAGGGUGCGGGUUGGCUGGAGCUUCGCGGCCAGCGCUAAGCGCGGCGCCCCAAAACCUGCGGGGGCAAUUAAACAAUUGGCCCUCUCGUUCCCAUCCCCGCGACCAGCCGCGUUGUCAUCUUAGCGACGUCGGAGUCCCGGAGUCCCCCCCGCGCGCGGCCACGGCCACGGCCACCGCAGUGCUCUAACCGGCCGUCGACUGGAGGAGAUGGUCCGAAGUCAUCGAGGUCUCCUCCUCCUCUGCGCGGCUCCGUGAAGAGACGAAGAGGAGGAAGAGGUUUGCGCUCUGAGCUUCGCGCGCGCGUCCUGUCUCCCCAGACUCUUAUGUGUGUGUCUCUCUCUCUCUCCUCCGACUCUCUCUCUGAUUCACUCUGAUCGUGGCCUCCUUUGACUAACGCCUCGUAACGCCGACGUAGCCGACUUCUUCUCGCCUGUAGUCCUGCUGCCACCUAGCGUGAGACCGCGCCGGCUUUUACACUGCACGCAUCCAUCCCGCGCGCACACGUGGGCGAGCGAGCGAGCGAGCGAGCGAACGAGCGAACGAGGAGGCGACGCCGCGUCGUGAACGUGCGCAACGCGGACGCGCCUUCGCUUUCGUCCGAAGCGAAACGUCGAGCGGUCGUCGGCGAUAUGGAGGGAGUGAUUCUUGGACCGCACAGCGAGGGCUUCCAUGUACACGCCUGCUCCUCCCCACGCGCAGCGGCACGAGACUUCCGAGCGCUCGGCAGCGAUUUUUUUGUUUUAAUUUGGGCGACCGGAAGAGAAUAACAUCGCUGCGAUUGAGGCGCAGAGACUCGCACGGCGGCGCAUGCGACGAGCAUCGGGCAAGCGACAUUAACAUUGGCGGACGAAUUCGUAGCCAAACCCAAGGUCCGCAGUGGAGCUCGCCAUUGGCGACUGCCUCGAGCUGCAUAGGCUCGGAAGCUCGGCUGCAAGAUCCGGGGUCUAUCGUGCCGAGGACGUCCUGGCUGCUGGACGCAGGCCUUCACGUGCCGUGUCGGCCAUGAGUAUUGGUUUGACCAUACUUCGCCACGCUGAAGCGACCUGGCCACAAAUGAUAUCUCAACGAAGUGGCUGAUCAAGUCCCAUGGAAUAACCAUUCCAUCAGGGCACGAAGAAGCUCCCAGCAAGCGGAGAGAAGCAUCGGACAUCACUGCCAUGUGCCUGGGAGCUUCUUCGGGAAGUAAAGAAAUGAAGGAGCUCCCGACACGCGGAGCGAAAACGUCGGACAACCCGCAAACAAUCGGAGAGAGCUCUGAAGCGCAACCGCAGAAGCCUACGCGGUGGUACGUUCAUCGUUUUUCUCCAGAGCGGAAGAAAGGUGGGACCAAACCUCCUUGUGUCACCGCGCAAAAUGUGAUCCCGUCUCACGUUUGGACGCGUGGCCGCACGUGCGGAACGGAGCGGGGGCGCAGGGACUUGGGAUCGACGCGGUGACGUCUUACGUCAGUUUCAAACGACACACAGAAACGAUGUGUGCAGAAAGCACUCGAGGCCUCGGCGUGCAUUAUGACAAAAAAAAA
Non-coding RNA from Petromyzon marinus (sea lamprey), 1596 nucleotides. The record is from RefSeq and is a predicted model, not a curated record. NCBI's taxonomy places the organism in Eukaryota, Metazoa, Chordata, Hyperoartia, Petromyzontiformes, Petromyzontidae.